RNAcentral lists this transfer RNA (72 nucleotides) under Agrilus planipennis (emerald ash borer). It matches the Rfam family "tRNA". Rfam says of the family: Transfer RNA (tRNA) molecules are approximately 80 nucleotides in length. Lineage: Eukaryota; Metazoa; Arthropoda; Insecta; Coleoptera; Buprestidae. The record is from Rfam by way of RNAcentral.
CCUCUCGUAGCUUAGUUGUAGAGCAUUGCUGCGUGAAGCCAAAGGUCGCGGGUUCGAUUCCCGGCGAGGGUG